This 253-nucleotide ribosomal RNA is filed under the name uncultured bacterium. Its description in RNAcentral is "partial 16S ribosomal RNA". It matches the Rfam family "Bacterial small subunit ribosomal RNA", at positions 524 to 776 of the family's 1533-position model. The record is from RNAcentral.
CACGUAGGGGGCGAGCGUUGUCCGGAAUUACUGGGCGUAAAGCGCACGCAGGCGGUCUAGUAAGCAGUGGGUGAAAUUCCGGGGCUCAACCCCGGCGCUGCUCGCUGAACUGCUAGACUAGAGUACGGGAGAGGGCAAUGGAAUUGCUGGUGUAGCGGUGGAAUGCGUAAAUAUCAGCAAGAACACCGGUGGCGAAGGCUGUUGCCUGGAACGUUACUGACGCUGAGGUGCGAAAGCUAGGGGAGCAAACGGG